RNAcentral lists this long non-coding RNA (1019 nucleotides) under Glycine max (soybean). RNAcentral's name for it is "long non-coding RNA (GMAX_LNC003597)". The record is from RNAcentral. Lineage: Eukaryota; Viridiplantae; Streptophyta; Magnoliopsida; Fabales; Fabaceae.
GUUAUUAUAAAUAAGGAUUAGUGCUUAAUGAUUUAUAAAGCACACCAAUGCACUGCAAUAUAUUUCAUUUCAUAAUAGAAUACUACACAAAGCCAUUAUUCUUUCUAUUCUUUCCCUCAAUACUUAAAACUCCAUAAUUUUAACACAGUAUCAAAGCGGAACCAUCAUCUAUGACCUGUUCUGUAACUACCCUGCUACAUAGCCCCCUAAAAUUUAGUGUUUUACUUUAUUUUCAUGAUUCUUCCUUCAAAUGAAUUGUCUCACUUGCUGUGUUUCUUCUCUGACAUUUGGGCACCAUUGCCAUGUCUUGGUUGUGUUCUUCAUUCUGACCAUCUCUUUCACAGGUUUUGUCCACCGUUGUAAUAUCCUUGAUGUGCCCUAACACUUGUGUUUCUCUCCAGAACUCUCCUCUGACGUGAAUUUACUACCGUGUUUCACACAAUUUCAUGACCCUUGUUUCUCUCAAGAUUUUGAUAUCCUCCACUGUGCAUUUUUUCCAGCAUGUUUCAAACAAAUUCUAGCUCCAAGUUUUCUACAAGAAAUAAUCACCUGUCAUGCAUUUUAUAGCGUAUUUCAGAUAAAUUCUGGUCUCCGAGUUUCUUUCUGCGUUUAAAUCUCCACCAUGGAGCACUUUUGGCCUGUUUCAGAAAGAUUCCGCCUCUGAGCUUGAGUUCCAGCCUCUUAAGUUUCUGACAUGUUUCAGCCUUCUGCAAUUGACGCCACUACCAGGAAAUUUUUUUCCAGCAACAUCACUGCCAUCAAAACUGCUAUAUGUCAAUUUAUUAGUCCGCAAAAUCUUAGGACCAUCAAAGUUAAGAUGCACUCUCACAUGCUAUUAUUGGGCAUACAUGGUUUUCCAUGCAUCGCAGUCCUCCAUCACACGUGGCAAUGCAUCAUGUUCGACUUUGGUCUAUCUGACUCAUGCUUGAUGUGCAAUCCUCUGCUACACAUAGGAAUGCCUCAUGGCAAAUUUUGUUCUAUCUGACUCAUGCUUGAUGUGGCGCUACCUCAUCCUGAAU